Molecule: ribosomal RNA, 450 nt
Filed under: uncultured bacterium
Lineage: Bacteria
Description: partial 16S ribosomal RNA
Rfam family: Bacterial small subunit ribosomal RNA
Source: RNAcentral
UAAGCACCGCUACUGUGCCGCAUCGGUCACGUUCCGAUUCAUUGGUUUAAGGGUGCGAGGCGGAUAGCAUGGUGAACUGAGUACUGUGAUGACUGCUGAGUGGCUGAAGUGGCGAUGUGGUGUGGGGAAAUGCUUAUAUACAGACACCAUUGCGAAGGCAGCUACUAAGACUGACGCUGAGGCACAAAGCGGGGGAUCAAACAGGAUUAAUACCCUGGUAGUCCCGCCGUAACUGAUCACUCGAGAUGCUGUGUCUCCGAAAGCGUUAAGGAUCACCUGGGGGUACGAUGCAAGAUUGAAACUCAAAGGCACAAGUCUAUCGCGGAGAACUUACCAGGCUAGUUCGAAACUCGAGGUCUGCAUGGCUUUCAGCUCGUGCCGUGAGGUGCGGGUUAAGUCCCUAACGACGCACCCCUAUUUUAGUUGCGGGGACUCUAAGAAACUGCCCGU